GGUCCACUAAUUAAGAGCGACGCCCGUUUAGCAGGCCACCUAGUGUCGCUUCCUGAUUUGUGAUGACUCAAGCAAACUUUGGAUCUGCCGGAGACUUCGACUUGGACUCCACUACUCGACUCUAUUAAUACCAGAGUGCUGGAUUGCCCCUCCCGGCAAAAAACCCGAGAUUUAUGGCUUCCACUGGGAAUGCGUGGGAUGCUAUAGUAGGACUUGGACUGCGGCCCACACAUCGGCGGAUGCUUUGUCCACACAUUUGGAUAUGUGGGUGAGCCAGUACAUAUACUCUGAUCUCAGUGCUGCGCAAAACACGCAAUCACCUCUGGAUAAAACCGCACUAAGCAAAAUCCAUUCAAGAUGAGUUGAGGAAAAGUCAAGUCAAGAACGACGACGCGCGUGGCAUCCCAUGGGUGGAAAUUUCAAUAAACGAGCAUCGUGUGAAAACACGAUGGUUUCUUAAAUUCAUCAAUACCAACAGCUUCAAUGAUUACCGCCGCUGGCGAUCAGUGCACAUUGCAACUGAAAUGCCUUGGAAAAAUGUUUUUCUUUGUGCAUAUUUCCUGCUUAAUUGAAAAGCAACAAGAUGGUAAUGACAACGCAAACUUCAACGGAUGUAUUUGUGCAAACAAAUGGACACGUUUCUGUUUUUAUAAGCAAGUGGAGCUGUCAAGGACAU
Drosophila mauritiana is the source of this 676-nucleotide long non-coding RNA. RefSeq lists it as uncharacterized. Lineage: Eukaryota; Metazoa; Arthropoda; Insecta; Diptera; Drosophilidae. The transcript is spliced from 3 exons. The record is from RefSeq and is a predicted model, not a curated record.